GAUGAACGCUGGCGGCGUGCCUAAUACAUGCAAGUCGAGCGAACAGACGAGGAGCUUGCUCCUCUGACGUUAGCGGCGGACGGGUGAGUAACACGUGGAUAACCUACCUAUAAGACUGGGAUAACUUCGGGAAACCGGAGCUAAUACCGGAUAAUAUAUUGAACCGCAUGGUUCAAUAGUGAAAGACGGUUUUGCUGUCACUUAUAGAUGGAUCCGCGCCGCAUUAGCUAGUUGGUAAGGUAACGGCUUACCAAGGCAACGAUGCGUAGCCGACCUGAGAGGGUGAUCGGACACACUGGAACUGAGACACGGUCCAGACUCCUACGGGAGGCAGCAGUAGGGACUCUUCCGCAAUGGGCGAAAGCUUGACGGAGCAACGCCGCGUGAGUGAUGAAGGUCUUCGGAUCGUAAAACUCUGUUAUUAGGGAAGAACAAAUGUGUAAGUAACUAUGCACGUCUUGACGGUACCUAAUCAGAAAGCCACGGCUAACUACGUG
This 497-nucleotide ribosomal RNA is filed under the name uncultured bacterium. RNAcentral's name for it is "partial 16S ribosomal RNA". It matches the Rfam family "Bacterial small subunit ribosomal RNA", at positions 28 to 507 of the family's 1533-position model. The record is from RNAcentral.